GUAAAAAAUAACAAUAACUCUACGAUUUGGAUGACUAUCGUCCCGAUAACUGAUAGCAAUAGCCCGAUAACUGAUAACCGAUUAGCGAUAACCGAUAACCGAUUACCGAUAACAGUCAUCAGUUGUGUCUGAAACUGGACAGCCAAUCAAGAUCAAGUUCUGGAUCCCCGCCCACUCGUACACCCGUCAGUCAAUCAGUCAAUCAAUCGAUCAAUCAAUCAGCCAAUCAAUCGAUGAACUGGAAACCGCCAACCGAUAAAGCCACCCGAUAGUCGGAUCCAAUUAAAUCUAUAACUCUUUUUUGGCCCAAUUGACACCAAAACUAAAAAUAAAAAAAAUUAAAAAAUAAAAUACAAACUCAAAACUUAAACCGUUAAACCAGAGACACGUUCGAACAAGUUAAAAAAUUAUACUAAAAAAAAA
Molecule: small RNA, 423 nt
Filed under: Drosophila ananassae
Lineage: Eukaryota; Metazoa; Arthropoda; Insecta; Diptera; Drosophilidae
Description: GF26739
Source: RNAcentral